Long non-coding RNA from Tupaia belangeri chinensis (Chinese tree shrew), 949 nucleotides. RefSeq lists it as uncharacterized. The transcript has 2 exons. The record is from RefSeq and is a predicted model, not a curated record. NCBI's taxonomy places the organism in Eukaryota, Metazoa, Chordata, Mammalia, Scandentia, Tupaiidae.
ACGUCCGCACUCGGCAGGGCUCGGGGCCCUCCUGUGGCCUCCCUUGCGCUCCCAGCCCCUGUCCUGGGACAAGCCCAGAUGAAAGGCAGCCCUGGGGCCACCCUCCCGGAUGCUGCUGGACUCAGUCACUCCUGGGGCUUCUGCAGAGUGAAGGGUUUGCUCAGUCCACAUCAAGGCUGCCCUUAGGGCACUUUUUCAGACUACCCAGAUGUGGAUUCGAAUUCCCAGGGGUGGGCCCAGGGCAUUGGGAUCACUAGAGCCAGGGGUGUCCAAGGUCCUUCCCAGCUCUUAAUGCACUGAGGUUGAGUUUAAACUGAGUCCUCCCCAGACUGCUGAUAGGUAAGUGACUUGGGCAGAAAAUACAGACAUACACAGCAGGCUCCCUAAGCACAGGGUUAGUGUCCGGGACCCUGGAGACCACCCAUGAGUUAGACACACAGGUGCUGUGGUGGGAGGGGCCAGCUUUCCUAGCAGGAGCCUGGCCCUUAAUGCCCUCAAUUCUCCAACGCGUCAAACCUCCCGUCUUGCCAGGACUUCCGGGUCAGUCUUCAGAGUCCCUCAAUAGAGGCCCAGGAGGCAAAAGGCUCCAACGUUCCCGGCCAUGGCCACGAGCCCCAGGGCUCCUCGAGGCUGCAGAUGGAGGACGAGGAUGACGAGGAGGAGGAGGAGGACGACGACGAUGUGCCUGAGUGGCAGCAGGACGAGUUUGACGAGGAGUUGGACAACGACAGCUUCUCCUAUGAUGAGGAGUCCGAGAACCUGGGCCGGGAGACUUUCUUCUUUGGUGACGAGGAGGACGAUGAUGAGGCCUAUGACUGAGGGGGCAGGAGACAAUCUAGAGCCGCCCAGAGCAAGGGCUGAGGGGGCGGGGGGCUCAGCCCUUCCUGCUGCCUGUCCUUGCAGAGGGGGUUCCCGGAUCUGUUUACUGAAUAAACUUCCUUUUUUCACA